RNA transcript from Oncorhynchus tshawytscha (Chinook salmon), 3824 nucleotides. It is a transcript of the gene named FERM domain containing 4Bb, with no coding region annotated. NCBI's taxonomy places the organism in Eukaryota, Metazoa, Chordata, Actinopteri, Salmoniformes, Salmonidae. The record is from RefSeq and is a predicted model, not a curated record. The transcript is spliced from 23 exons.
GUGGUGAGCGUGGAAGAAAGCGAGCGUGCGCGAGUAGCCCUACGAGAGAAGGCUACUAAUAGUUGACUGCGAUACAGUUCACUGACUCUCUCCUCCUUUUGCUGAAAACGUAACAGGGAUGCAUUGAAUGCAUUUCCAAUAUGCUGGGGGAGACCUAUGUUAGAUUCAAGAAACCAACUAGCUGAAAUAAAAGGAAACGCCCAAAACGAAGAUGACGGAGGGGAGACUCUGCCAGGUUCAUCUCCUUGACGACAGGAAACUUGAUCUGCUGGUUCAGCCCAAGCUGUUGUCCCAUGAACUGCUAGAUCUGGUGUCCUCCCAUUUUAACCUCAAAGAGAAGGAAUACUUCGGCCUAACAUUUGUUGAUGACAGUGGCCAGUGUAAAUACUUGCAGUUGGACCGAAGAGUUCUAGAACAUGACUUUUCUAAGAGGGCUACUGGGCCUAUUGCCCUCAACUUCCUGGUCAGGUUUUACGUCGAGAGUAUAACACUGCUGAAAGACAACACAACGGUGGAAUUAUUCUUCCUAAAUGCAAAAGUUGCCGUCUACAAUGGGGAUAUAGAGGUGGAAAGUGAGAAUGUAUUCAAAUUAGCAGCAAACGCCUUGCAGGAAGCAAAGGGGAAUUACUCAAGUGAUGAAACCACCAGAAUGGAUCUGAAGAAGCUCCCAACUCUUCCCAACAAGGUGCUAAAGGAGCACCCAUCACUUACAUACUGUGAGGAUCGAGUGAUAGAGCACUACAAACAGCUGAAAGGAGUCUCCCGCGGACAUGCCAUGGUGCAGUAUUUGACUCUAGUGGAAUCAUUACCCACGUAUGGCGUUCAUUAUUAUGAAGUAAAGGACAAGCAAGGAAUCCCAUGGUGGCUUGGGAUCAGCUAUAAAGGAAUUGGCCAAUAUGAUUUGCAGGACAAAUUGAAACCAAGGAAGCUGUAUCAGUGGAAGCAACUGGAGAACUUGUAUUUUCGGGAGAAGAAAUUUGCUGUUGAGGUGAAUGACCCUCACAGGCGGGCAGUGACCAAGCGUACAUUCGGCCAGACCGGCUUGGUCAUCCACACAUGGUACGCCAGCCAUUCACUGAUCAAAACCAUCUGGGUCAUGGCCAUCAGUCAGCACCAGUUUUACUUGGACAGGAAGCAAAGCAAGGGUAAAAUAACUGCAGCGAAAAGUUUGGGUGAUAUUGCCGUCGAUCUAACAGAGCAUGGAGGAGGAACCAAGAUAACCAGACUAGGAGAUAACCUAAAGCACAACCUCAUUAUGGCUAGCACUGGUAGCCUGGCGUCAACAGGGUCCGCCGAUUCAGCGGUGGACGAAGUGCAGAGAAAGGAGAAGAUCUCUGAGCUAAAGAAGAAGGAACAAGAGAUCCAAGACAUCUUGACCCAGAAAACAAAGGAGCUGAAGAAAAUCUGCUUGCUGGAGGCGGAGCUCACGGGCAAACUGCCAAAAGAGUAUCCCUUGUUUGCAGGUGAGAGACCUCCUCAUGUCAGACGACGCGUUGGAACGACCUUCAAACUGGAUGACCUCUUCCCAUACAACGAGGACCCUUAUCUGAGGAACCUGGAGAGCAUGUUUGCUCUACAGCAGAAGAUCGUAGAAGCAGCUAAGAAGCUGGCCUCAGAGGCAGAGCUCUGUAAGACUGUGAAGAGGAAGAGGAGGAGGAACUGUCAGGACGCCAUGAGGAAACUGCAGCAGGUUGAAGACGAGAUGAACCAGUACAGAAUCAAGAAAGGCAAGAAGCCUACCCAAAGAGCCUCUGUGAUUAUCACAGAUGAAUUUAUCCAUUUAGAGACCAGCUCCCAGUCAGAUAGUCAGAUUCUAGAUGACGAUGACUCUGAUGGUGCUCAGAGGCCCCGGUCACGGUCUGUCCAGUGCUCCCCUCAGCUCAGCCCCGCGCACUCCCUAGAUCACCACAACAACAAGAGUCUCAACAGGUUAGCGUUUGACAGCCAGGAUGCUUCACACCACUACCACCCCAGAGAGGUGUCAUCCGCACACAGCAGCCCCUACAAAACCUUACCCAGACCUUCACGGGACGCAUGCAGCAUGCCCUCCACCCCCGUUAUGACCCGCAACGCCUACAGCAGCAGCCAGCUCAGGUCGGAUGGGAACUCUCAGUCCUUCAGGCACCGCAGUGGGAGUCUGGAGUCACAGCAACGGCUAUUAAAGGAUACUGACUCAGAGAAGCCAGUGUUUACCCAGUCCCCUGCCUGCAGGAACAACAGCACAGAAGCCCUGGAGGACUGCUCCUCCUACACCAGCCAGUCCAGCUUGGACUACGCAGGCAACCCCCACUACUGCACCCUGGACUCUCGGACCCGCAACCAUCAGCUGCACAGGAGGGUGGAGGUCUACGGUAAUACAGGCAGUAUGCCCAAUUUGGUCCAGAACCAUAUCGGCUUUAGUGAUACUUACGAGCCCCAGGCACACUACGCGCCAACUGCUUACUACGUGGCAGGCUACCCCUGUCCAGACAUGGAGCCCUACUCCAACGGUGCUUACGUCUAUGAGAACGAGAUGGAGGGCCACUACAAUGUCAACCCCUCCUACCAAGUACACAAUUACGGACACGAGCGAUACAGGACCUACAGUAGUGAUCGGGCGGACAGCCUUGCUCAGAACCCCUACGCUACCAUGAGAUUGCCCCGGACCAGACAUGGGCCCCGCAAUGAGCCCUUACAGAAGAACAUGCAAAAGGCCAUGGUGGCUGAGCACCUGAGAGGCUGGUACCACCGCAGCGGGGGCCACAUAGAGGCAGGUAGAGGUCUGGCUGGGUAUGACUACGAUAACGGCUCUCAGCUCAGCCUUGGAUAUCAGACCAUGCCAGCCCCCUUCAGCCACUCCAGCCGAACCACCUCCUACUCCUCAGUUUCCUCAUCCACCAGCACAGGAAACUGGCGCAGCCAGCUAACUGUUGGUCUAACAGACAAUGAUAACAUGGCAGAGUCACCACAGCACCAUCACCCAGGAGCCCAUGGCACCUACAACCGGAGCCCCACCCAUAUCAGUUUCCAAUUGACUCAUUCAUCUCCCCUAUAACUAUGCCCAAGAUUGAAGCUGUAAAUGAGAAUGUGUUCUCAGUCAAUUUACCAGGAGAAUAUUCAUGGAUGGAAAUUACAUGAGCAUCCACUGAAGGUAAGAGGACUGGAAUGAAAUCUGUCACAAUGACCCUGACACUGGAAGCACAGACCUCUGGAUGGAUGCCAACUAACCAAUCUGUAUACAUACUAUGAAGCUUGAGAAUGACUCUCCCAUGUGCCUUUGAUUGGAUGGAGAUCGAUAUUAUUCAGGAAGACAUGGAUGUGGUGAUGGCACAAACGUUUUGCUGAUCUGCAAAAGCAGCUUCAUCAUUGUGAAUUUCAAACCCUGGGAUAUCUUUGACCCAAAUAUAUUGAACCAAUUGUAUUAUGACAUUAUACAUAUUGUAAAUCAACUUUAAUAUCUUUGUAAAACAUUUAGGUAUACAUUUUUAUUUACAAAAUGUGAUAACAAAAUAAUAAACUAACCCUUCUUUAGUCCCAGGUUGUCAAUCCAUGGAUUGACACUCUCUCCUCUCCCAAGUAUGAAUCUGAAUGUACAUGUUUAUAGAUUAUUAUUAUUUGUGAAUGUGUUAUUGUGAUGUAAAUUGCUUGCAUGUGGAGAACAUAAACUUUUGAUAAGUAGGUUUUUUGUAUGAUGUAAAAAGAUAUGUCUGGAUAACCCUCAAAUAAUAUUCCUUUAUUUGUUUCUCUACAUAUUUCUACAUUGUCCAUGUAUUGUUUGUCUUCUACUCUGAGUGAAUAUCUCCCAUUUGGAUUUGGGACAUUAAUAAAAACAAUGUGAGACUUGA